This 486-nucleotide long non-coding RNA is filed under the name Sus scrofa (pig). RNAcentral's name for it is "lncRNA (ENSSSCG00070021663.1)". The record is from RNAcentral. Lineage: Eukaryota; Metazoa; Chordata; Mammalia; Artiodactyla; Suidae.
UAUUCUAAAGAACUUUCCUUUGGCUCUUCCACUUUCGCUCUCAGAUGGUCAGUGUCUUAUUUCCCUGCGGCGUGUUUGAAGCCAGACGUCAAAGACAAAUCUGUUUGACCUUUUCAAAAGAAGUGCCACCAAGAUUUCGAUGAAGGGUAUGAAGCUGAUGCAGUCAUCUGGGAAAACUGACAUCGUACCAGGUGACAGUUUAGAGAUGUAACUGCGACUGUGUUUUGAGGACUGUAUACAAUUCCUUUGACAACUGGGGAAGCUUCUGGAAUACUGCGAAGGUGGGUUAAAAAAAAAAAUCAUGCUUAUUCCACAUAGUUUUUCUUCCUUAAGGCUUUUUCUCUCCUUCCUCGGUGUCGCAAUUCUGCCAAACAUCUAAAGUUUUACAUGCUCAUAAUGCAGAUAUCUGUAGGAUUUUUAUUUGUUAUUUGUUUUCCAGGUCUGUUUCAUCUGUAAGAGGGUACGACAAACUUGUAGAGGGAGGUC